AUGGAGUCUGACAUGAACAGGAUCGAUUGGCUGAGCCUCAUGGGAGGCAACACACCUGGAGAGUCGGUCAGAAGACUGCUUAGGAAACUCGGGACGAAUGCUCUAUGGGCCCAAUAUAGUCUUAAAGGCCGCAAGGGAAAGAAGAAUUUGUAGGAACUGGAAAUAUAUGCCUGUCGUCAAACACACACCAAGGUGCUGGAAAAAGUAAUUGAGGACUUCAUAUCAGAAACACUGAAGUUUGCACCACACAGAGAUAAGAUGCUACAAUCUAAGGUGUCACUUCAGGCCGAAGCAGAGACUUCAGGAAAAGAAGACACACAGAACACACUUAAUUAGUUGUUUUACACACAGAACGUAUUUUAUGUAAGAUUUGGAAUGUUUCAGUUUGUGGAAUGUUUGAGUAUAUAAAAUGUGAAAGUUAAGAUAUCAGUUAUGCCACUUUUUUUUCCAUUUAAAUGUACUGUACGUUACAGUAUACUUAAAGUAUCCUU
Long non-coding RNA from Cyprinus carpio carpio, 491 nucleotides. Lineage: Eukaryota; Metazoa; Chordata; Actinopteri; Cypriniformes; Cyprinidae. The record is from Ensembl.